AACCGGUUUUGAGCCCGUAUUUUUUCCUCUCGAUCCAGUUGCUUCCUCGAUCUAGGAAAUCCUAGGGCGUGGUCUUGGGAUGCCGCCGCCGCCAUCGCUGGGGUUCCCAGCCGCCGCCGCCGCCUUCGCUAGGGUUCCCAGCCGCCGCCGCCCAACCUCCGAGACCGCCGCAGCCGGCGCCAUCGCAACCCCAGGACGACAUGCAACGACCGGUGUUGGCGCGUCCUCGUGGGUGGCGGUGAGGAGGACGGCCAGUGGCAGUCCCCCCGAAGCACCACCAUGACGGCACCUCGCCGCGGCCGCUCGGCAUGGGUUGCCGCCCCGCGUCCUAGAGAUGGGAAUCUUGUAGCUGGAGUCUGGAGAUGUAUACAUGGUUGACUCAAUCCUAAUUGUUGGAAACAAUAUCACAGAUCAAAGCUUUAUCGAGUCUCAUAAAAUGUGUGAGAAGUGUGAGAAUAGAGUUCUCAGGAAGGAGGCAUCAUGGGCAUUGUGAAACGUAGCAGCAGGCAAGUUUGGGCACAAGAAAUAUUGCAGGUUAUGAGGGUGUACCCCAAACAGGGCCCAAAGCAUGUGGAGAGGAAGGAUGCCCACGGGCAUUUGUUGGCGCGAGCUGAUGCGAUCCCGCUGUGGCAAUUGGGAUGGGUAGAUGGGGAGGCAUAGUGGAGGCCGGUGGCAGCAUCUGGAAGAAAACAAUGAGCGAGGCGGCGGCAGUGUACAGUGGCAUGGCCGUUGUGUUGCAGCCGUCGCAUAGACGUCGAAGGAGCACCAGCGACACGCGCGCGCACAGACACACACACACUAAUGGUGCUGCUGGAGGCCAUGGGGCUGAGCAAGGAUGUGAGUGGUACACGGCACUGGUAGCAUUAUACUAUCAAGAACACCGGCAUGGCAUUGAUUCUUGCUAUCUAUAAUGCACGCGACACGCCAUGGUCGUCUUCCACCACCUACGCCUCCAACCCUCCAAAGCGUGUCACCUCAAUGGUCGCCGUCGCCUCAUGCUCCAGCUCUCCCAGCCACCGCCACAGGUCACCGCCUCUGUCCCUCCAAAGAACAGGGCCUCUCUUGUUGCAACCUCCUUACCACGACGACCAACGACGAGGAGGAGGAGGAGCUGGGCGAGGCAGGGAGGCAAGGGCGAAGUGUUGUCACCACAUCCACUUCCUAGGGCCGCAGGCGGCAAUGGUGAGGAGGUGAGCGACAACGGGAGACUAAGGUGAAACUGAUGAGAAGUAGUGUCGCUUCCUCAAUUAUGUGUAUGGAGAAGGGAAAAGUGUGGGUAGCUUUGAGAUUCGAUUCAAUCAUGAACAAUGAUUUGCAAGCAAACCCUCUUGUACCCAAAAUCACAAUGGUUGGCAUCUCAAUGAGCGAAGGGGGACAUGUGAGCAAAGCGAACCUAAUGAAAAUAAAGUUUUUUUUCAGAAACAUAAAACAGUGACAUACAAUAUAAUACAUCAUCGGAAGAGGAGGAGGCAUAUGAAGCUGGGAGAGGUGACGGGGAGCACGAGAAACUGCUCCCAGUGCAAGAGAGAGAGCCAUGCCAAUAGUCAGUUGUGGGCUUGUGGCGCUGGUCGCGACCGCUGCAUCACCAACCAUGAUCGUCCAGGCUGUGGCAUGGGGGUCGUGCUUGCUGCUUGUGCGGCGAUCCCCCCAUCGUGAUGAUAAGGCGACUCCCCAACCCCGAUGAUAAGGCUUCAUCCAUUUAAUUUUGACUCUGUGGACAACUAGCUUUUGGGUCAAUGCCAGUGAUGCGAUGCUUACAUGUUCUAUGAUGUUUUUCCAACACACCGUCCAUGGUUGCUUGACAGGAAACAGAGAAGUGUCCGGAUGGGCAAUCAACUCAUCUGUUGAUUAGAUUGGGGGUGGCAUGAACAAAGUAAAGGUGAAGAAAGCAAGCUUGGACGCUAGGUGGCGGCACCAACAUGGGAAGUGUCUGGCAUGAACCAAACAUCUAUGGCUUGUUGCUUUGAAUCUUGCCGGUCUAGGCAAGGUUAGCUCUUGUCACGGUCCAUCUGUGUAUGUGUCUAAGAAAUUCUUGCGUACAUGUCUUUUAGUACUAUUUUUCCCACGGUCCAUCUGUGUAUGUCAUUUCCAUGAGGCGGUGAUUUUGAUAAUUUUUCUUAAACUCUUUACUUAUUAGUUGCGGAUAUCUUCUCUAGAAAUAACAAAAGUAUAAUAUAGGCAAGAAUGAGUAUCAGAACUAACGCCAUGGUGCUCAUGUAAGUCUAGCCAUGGAUUAAAAAGUUU
Long non-coding RNA from Triticum aestivum (bread wheat), 2244 nucleotides. RefSeq lists it as uncharacterized. The record is from RefSeq and is a predicted model, not a curated record. The transcript is spliced from 10 exons. Lineage: Eukaryota; Viridiplantae; Streptophyta; Magnoliopsida; Poales; Poaceae.